UGCCCUUGGGCGGCGUGCUAAUACAUGCAAGUCGAGCGGACAGAUCGGGAGCUUGCUCCCUGAUGUUAGCGGCGGACGGGUGAGUAACACGUGGGUAACCUGCCUGUAAGACUGGGAUAACUCCGGGAAACCGGGGCUAAUACCGGAUGCUUGAUUGAACCGCAUGGUUCAAUUAUAAAAGGUGGCUUUUAGCUACCACUUACAGAUGGACCCGCGGCGCAUUAGCUAGUUGGUGAGGUAACGGCUCACCAAGGCAACGAUGCGUAGCCGACCUGAGAGGGUGAUCGGCCACACUGGGACUGAGACACGGCCCAGACUCCUACGGGAGGCAGCAGUAGGGAAUCUUCCGCAAUGGACGAAAGUCUGACGGAGCAACGCCGCGUGAGUGAUGAAGGUUUUCGGAUCGUAAAACUCUGUUGUUAGGGAAGAACAAGUACCGUUCGAAUAGGGCGGUACCUUGACGGUACCUAACCAGAAAGCCACGGCUAACUACGUGCCAGCAGCCGCGGUAAUACGUAGGUGGCAAGCGUUGUCCGGAAUUAUUGGGGCGUAAAGCGCGCGCAGGCGGUUUCUUAAGUCUGAUGUGAAAGCCCCCGGCUCAACCGGGGAGGGUCAUUGGAAACUGGGGGAACUUGAGUGCAGAAGAGGAGAGUGGAAAUUCCACGUGUAGCGGUGAAAUGCGUAGAGAUGUGGGAGGAACGCCAGUGGCGAAAGCGACUCUCUGGUCUGUAACUGACGCUGAGGCGCGAAAGCGUGGGGGAGCGAACAGGAUUAGAUACCCCUGGCUAGUCCACGCCCGUAGACGAUGAGUGCUAAGUGUUAGGAGGGUUUCCGCCCCUUUAGUUGCUGCAGCAAACGCAUUAAGCACUCCGCCCUGGGGGAGUACGGUCGGCAGGACUGGAAACUCAAGGUAUUGACGGGGCCCCGCCACAAGCGAUGCAGCCAUGGUGCUUGAUCCGAAGUCACGCGAAGAAACUAACCAGGUCGUUGUACUGCAUCUGCACUAGUCCUAGGGAU
RNAcentral lists this ribosomal RNA (1017 nucleotides) under Bacillus licheniformis. RNAcentral describes it as "bacterial SSU rRNA". It matches the Rfam family "Bacterial small subunit ribosomal RNA", at positions 32 to 1010 of the family's 1533-position model. The record is from RNAcentral. Lineage: Bacteria; Bacillati; Bacillota; Bacilli; Caryophanales; Bacillaceae.